UGGGGAAUAUUGGACAAUGGGCGAAAGCCUGAUCCAGCCAUGCCGCGUGUGUGAAGAAGGCCUUUUGGUUGUAAAGCACUUUAAGUGGGGAGGAAAAGCUUAUGGUUAAUACCCAUAAGCCCUGACGUUACCCACAGAAUAAGCACCGGCUAACUCUGUGCCAGCAGCCGCGGUAAUACAGAGGGUGCAAGCGUUAAUCGGAAUUACUGGGCGUAAAGCGCGCGUAGGUGGUUAUUUAAGUCAGAUGUGAAAGCCCCGGGCUUAACCUGGGAACUGCAUCUGAUACUGGAUAACUAGAGUAGGUGAGAGGGGAGUAGAAUUCCAGGUGUAGCGGUGAAAUGCGUAGAGAUCUGGAGGAAUACCGAUGGCGAAGGCAGCUCCCUGGCAUCAUACUGACACUGAGGUGCGAAAGCGUGGGUAGCAAACAGGAUUAGAUACCCUGGUAGUCCACGCCGUAGACGAUGUCUACCAGUCGUUGGGUCUUUUAAAGACUUAGUGACGCAGUUAACGCAAUAAGUAGACCGCCUGGGGAGUACGGCCGCAAGGUUA
This 549-nucleotide ribosomal RNA is filed under the name uncultured bacterium. Its description in RNAcentral is "bacterial SSU rRNA". It matches the Rfam family "Bacterial small subunit ribosomal RNA", at positions 355 to 896 of the family's 1533-position model. The record is from RNAcentral.